RNAcentral lists this ribosomal RNA (461 nucleotides) under uncultured Sphingobacteriales bacterium. RNAcentral's name for it is "bacterial SSU rRNA". It matches the Rfam family "Bacterial small subunit ribosomal RNA", at positions 923 to 1382 of the family's 1533-position model. Lineage: Bacteria; Pseudomonadati; Bacteroidota; Sphingobacteriia; Sphingobacteriales. The record is from RNAcentral.
GCACAAGCGGUGAGCAUGUGGUUUAAUUCGAUGAUACGCGAGGAACCUUACCUGGGCUCAAAUGUAUGUUGACGUAUUCUGAAAGGGAUACUUCUUCGGACAAUAUACAAGGUGCUGCAUGGUUGUCGUCAGCUCGUGCCGUGAGGUGUCGGGUUAAGUCCCAUAACGAGCGCAACCCUAUCAUUAGUUGCCAUCAGGUCAAGCUGGGGACUCUAAUGAAACUGCCUACGCAAGUAGUGAGGAAGGUGGGGAUGACGUCAAAUCAGCACGGCCCUUACGUCCAGGGCUACACACGUGCUACAAUGGCCGGUACAAAGGGCAGCUACCUGGUGACAGGAUGCAAAUCUCCAAAGUCGGUCUCAGUUCGGAUCGGAGUCUGCAACCCGACUCCGUGAAGUUGGAUUCGCUAGUAAUACGCGCAUCAGCCAUGGCGGCGGGUGGAAUAACGUUCCCGGGCCGUU